UACGUAGGCAGCGAGCGUUGUUCGGAGUUACUGGGCGUAAAGGGUGUGUAGGCGGUUCUUUAAGUUUGGUGUGAAAUCUCCCGGCUCAACCGGGAGGGUGCGCCGAAUACUGAGGGACUUGGAGUAUGGGAUGGGAAAGUGGAAUUCCUGGUGGUAGCGGUGAAAUGCGUAGAUAUCAGGAGGAACACCUGUGGUGUAGACGGCUUUCUGGACCAUAACUGACGCUGAGACACGAAAGCGUGGGUAGCAAACAGG
RNAcentral lists this ribosomal RNA (255 nucleotides) under uncultured bacterium. RNAcentral's name for it is "partial 16S ribosomal RNA". It matches the Rfam family "Bacterial small subunit ribosomal RNA", at positions 524 to 776 of the family's 1533-position model. The record is from RNAcentral.